CAACCUUCCGUUUACUCAGGGAUAGCCUUUCGAAAGAAAGAUUAAUACCUGAUAGUAUGGUGAGAUUGCAUGGUAGCACCAUUAAAGACUUAUUGGUAAACGAUGGGGAUGCGUUCCAUUAGGUAGUAGGCGGGGUAACGGCCCACCUAGCCGACGAUGGAUAGGGGUUCUGAGAGGAAGGUCCCCCACAUUGGAACUGAGACACGGUCCAAACUCCUACGGGAGGCAGCAGUGAGGAAUAUUGGUCAAUGGGCGAGAGCCUGAACCAGCCAAGUAGCGUGAAGGAUGAAGGUCCUACGGAUUGUAAACUUCUUUUAUACGGGAAUAAAGUAUCCUACGUGUAGGAUUUUGUAUGUACCGUAUGAAUAAGCAUCGGCUAACUCCGUGCCAGCAGCCGCGGUAAUACGGAGGAUGCGAGCGUUAUCCGGAUUUAUUGGGUUUAAAGGGAGCGCAGACGGGAGAUUAAGUCAGUUGUGAAAGUUUGCGGCUCAACCGUAAAAUUGCAGUUGAUACUGGUUUCCUUGAGUGCAGUUGAGGCAGGCGGAAUUCGUGGUGUAGCGGUGAAAUGCUCAGAUAUCACGAAGAACUCCGAUUG
Molecule: ribosomal RNA, 595 nt
Filed under: uncultured Bacteroidota bacterium
Lineage: Bacteria; Pseudomonadati; Bacteroidota
Description: bacterial SSU rRNA
Rfam family: Bacterial small subunit ribosomal RNA
Source: RNAcentral